Molecule: non-coding RNA, 3008 nt
Organism: Struthio camelus australis
Lineage: Eukaryota; Metazoa; Chordata; Aves; Struthioniformes; Struthionidae
Source: RefSeq, a predicted model, not a curated record
CUGAGGCAAAGAAGUGAAAUCCAAUAUGAGAUUGUUCAAUUUUUGAAGACAAAAAGAGAAAGACUAGUACAUGGAAGCUGUGUGGCAACGUGUCAGUAGUUUUCAGGUCUCCAGACAGGAGUAAAAUAUGUAUCUGACACGCCGCCUUCACAGCUUUCAUCAGCUUGUUUGUACUAUUUUAAUAUUGUGAUUAAUAUUCCUAAUUUACUCAUAUUUUAAAGAAUUGGGAAUCUGUAUGUGCAUUGAUUUUAGCAUACAGGGUGCCAUAAUGAAUCAGAAGGGAGGAGGAAAGAAGUAUAAAAAGAGGUUAGGGAAAUUUAAGUCCAACAGGAGUUAGAUUUGAGGGAAAUAGUUGGAAAAGUAGAAAUAAUUCAGAACAUUUUGAAAUUGAAAAGGAGUAGAAAGAAAAAGGGAGGAAAGGGUCCUGCAGAUGUUGGAAUGAAAAGAACGUUUAUGAGAUAGCAUUUCUUACAUGUUUGUAGGGAUGUUUAAUGGAGAAAGCAGUUUAAAAGUCAACUCAAACAUGAAGACCCAUUAGCAUUUGCAGAGUCUAGGAGAACUGAGAGAAGUAAAAGUCACAGAAAGAAAAGAAAAACAACCAAGUAGUGGGUAUCUUUUACUGAGGUUCACUGUAGGUAUUUAUAAUUUUUAAAUAUUUUUAUUAACCAGACUUAAAUUAGGUACUAUAUUUCCUCUACAAUAUCUUUUUCAAAUAAGCCAUCCUGUCGGCAGUGGAACUAACCAACUAAUACGCUUAGUGUCUGUGUCCUUAGUAAACUAUUAACCACUGGUAUAUUAUGGUAUUCUGAACUCUCCUCCAUCCUUUACAACAGUCCCAUGGGGGAUGCAAUGGCACAUGCCAGCUGUCUUUCUAAUGCUUGUUGGCACACUGACAAGUGGCUCAUGUAACAAGAGAGUUCUACCUACUUUUCAGUAGGGGCACUAAUUUGAGCCUUCCUUUUCUGUACAAGUGCCAGCUUUCACAGAAGUUGGAUGGAUUCAGUUAUAUUUCAGAAUUUUUACUAUUUCAAAUUGGCAAACGAGUUCAAAAGUUAUUAGAGGUAGACUCCAACAAAGUUAAAAAUAUAGCAGGUGAUUGCAUUCUGAAUUGAGGAUACAAACUCUUACGGGUUUUUUUUGAGGUAUCUGAUACUUAUCAGAAAGUCAGUGUCUUUGAAUGGAGGAAAGGAACAGGUGGAUGCGAGGAGUUCGGUUUAAAAUGAUCAGCCACUGUAGGUUGAUCAGCAGGAGGAAGGGCUUGUAAGCACAUGCUUCAGUUCUGCAAACCACUGUUUGCCACACAACCAAAAGAGGCAGUCAGCUUUGACAGCCAUAUUAGGUAAGGGCAGCAAGAUGCCACUUAGGUGGCCAUCCUUUUUCAGGGCAGGAAGUCCAUAAUAGUGUUAUGAUAGCCAUCAUAGCUGAGGGCAGAAGGGGCCCACUCUGUGUCCAUCUUGGAUAAGGGAAAUGGAAGGGAGGGCACUACCACGUUUGUCUCUUAAAGAAGUGGUGCCUAUUUAAGGAUGAUGAAAUACAGAAGUGGUAGUGUUCAUGUGCAUGCCUGCCAAACAGCUGGACUUUGGUUUGAGUGUGUCAAGGUGCAGGAGAGAUUCGUCAGUCCUAAUAACUUACUGAAAAUAGAAAGAUCUUUUACUUCAGGAAGCCUAUUGUGAAUUCCGAAUUCACUUAACUGCCUAGGGAAAAACAGAGCAUCAUUAUGGGUCACUCAACGACAAAUCUCUGAAUACUGUGCAGUGAUGAUCUAAAAGGUUACCGAAAUAUCAAUAUAUAUGAGCUCAAGAUUGUCAGUGGGGAGGGGUUGUGAACCAAUUGCUUAGUGGGAGAUUCUGACUCAAGAGAGUUUGCUAGAUUUGGAAUGGAAUGAUGCAUGCUGUAUAGAAAAAGUUUAGUUUGGAGUAUAAAAAGUAAGAUCCAAACUGAAAUGAAAACAGAAUAAACAGCUAAAUUGUAAAGAGAAAGUUGGAGAUGCACAGUCUUAUACUGAGUUUGCAUCCUUGAAACUCAUCAGCAAUUUAUUACUUUAACUUCUCACUGAUUUCCAGAAAUUCAGCAAAUUGUGUGUGCAACUACACUGUUUGAAGCAAUACUAAAUUUUGAAAAGUGCCUAUAAAGGAAUCUGCUUCUACAUAGGUGAGUCUGGAAAUACACAGCAAAGUUGGAAACUGAACUGGUAUCUACAUCCUAUUGUAUUAUCUUUUGCAAGAUGAACUUGCCUCAGAAAUUGCUGCUGAGACACCCACAACCAAGCUGAACUGUCAAAAUGUAAGGAUUUUUUUCAGAGCAAUAGGCUUAUUUUCCUUUGAACUACGAAUGUGUCAAUUUGCGUGUUCACACUACAAAAACAUUUUGGUUCACAGCAAUCGCUUCCUGUCCACUAGAGGGCUAGGGGGAGGACUAGCUGCAUGCCAUCUCAGAUGAACAAUAUUUUUGCAGUGUCUGCUGUUGCUUUUGAGUUGCAACUACUGAAAAAGUAAUGACUUUGAAGGACUACUUUUGCUACUUAAGAAAAAAGUUAAACAAAGAGUGACAAGAUGUGGUCAGUCAUUCUCUCUGCAAUUUGUUGAAAUAUUCUGGUUGCAAUUCUUGAUAAAAUUCACAAUACUCUGUGCAUGCGUAAUAGUUCAUAUCUUUGGACAGUCACAGGAAUAAAUGGUGUAGAUGCGGAGUAUCUCAGGGCAGCAACAAUCCAAUCUGAAUUUUCAGAUACCUGUUUGUUCUAGGAGCUGCUGAAUACAUACACAUUCUACAAACACGAUCUCCAGCAGUUUAUUUCUCUCUGCGUUGCUGUAUCAUGAGAAAUAAACGGAGCAAGAAUGCAUCCUCAGAAUGAUGAUCAUUACUGGAAAAUAACAACAGGGGGAAAAAAAGGUGAGACGGGCGGAAGACAUUUAUCCAUUUCUUUGAUGGAUGCUCAGUGGAUAUAAGAAUCACAGAAUGGCAAACAAAUGUCAUCCCUUCUUGACCAAGAAAGAUCAUCACAUUUUUCC